RNAcentral lists this unclassified non-coding RNA (197 nucleotides) under uncultured Thelephoraceae. RNAcentral describes it as "sequence contains ITS1". Lineage: Eukaryota; Fungi; Basidiomycota; Agaricomycetes; Thelephorales; Thelephoraceae. The record is from RNAcentral.
CCGAACUGUCGACACGAGUUGUUGCUGGUCCUCGAAAGGGGAUAUGUGCACGCUCUGUUUACACAUCCACUCACACCUGUGCACCCUUGUAGUUCUAUGGCCUGGGGACUUGGUCCUCUUGCUGUGGUCCUAUGUCUUUACACACACACCGUAACAAAGUAUCGUGGAAUGUACAUCGCGUUUAACGCAAUACAAUA